Molecule: ribosomal RNA, 394 nt
Filed under: uncultured bacterium
Lineage: Bacteria
Description: partial 16S ribosomal RNA
Rfam family: Bacterial small subunit ribosomal RNA
Source: RNAcentral
CCUACGGGAUGCUGCAGUGAGGAAUAUUGGUCAAUGGGCGCGAGCCUGAACCAGCCAAGUAGCGUGAAGGAUGACUGCCCUACGGGUUGUAAACUUCUUUUAUAAAGGAAUAAAGUGAGGCACGUGUGCCUUUUUGUAUGUACUUUAUGAAUAAGGAUCGGCUAACUCCGUGCCAGCAGCCGCGGUAAUAGGGAGGAUCCGAGCGUUAUCCGGAUUUAUUGGGGUUAAAGGGAGCGGAGGUGGGUUGUGAAGGCAGUUGUGGAAGUUUGCGGCUCAACCGUAAAAUUGCAAUUGAUACUGGCAGUCGUGAGUACAGUAGAGGUAGGCGGAAUUCGUGGGGUAGCGGUGAAAUGCUUAGAUAUCACGGAGAACUCCGAUUGCGAAGGCAGCUUAC